CUACGGGACGCAGCAGUAAGGAAUAUUGCGCAAUGGAGGCAACUCUGACGCAGCCAUGCCGCGUGCAGGAAGAAGGCCUUAUGGGUCGUAAACUGCUUUUAUUUAGGAAUAAACCCCCGAACGUGUUCGGGGCUGAAGGUUCUAAACGAAUAAGCACCGGCUACUCGGUGCCAGCAGCCGCGGUAAUACGGAGGGUGCAAGCGUUAUCCGGAUUUAUUGGGUUUAAAGGGUGCGCAGGCGGGCUAUUAAGUCAGUGGUGAAAUCCCGGGGCUCAACUCCGGAACUGCCAUUGAUACUGAUAGUCUUGAGUUUGGUUGAAGUGGGCGGAAUGUAGCAUGUAGCGGUGAAAUGCAUAGAUAUGCUACAGAACACCAAUCGCGAAGGCAGCUCACUAAGCCAAAACUGACGCUCAUGCACGAAAGCGUGGGGAUCAAACAGGAUUAGAUACCCCCGUAGUC
This 458-nucleotide ribosomal RNA is filed under the name uncultured bacterium. RNAcentral's name for it is "partial 16S ribosomal RNA". It matches the Rfam family "Bacterial small subunit ribosomal RNA", at positions 339 to 795 of the family's 1533-position model. The record is from RNAcentral.